This 253-nucleotide ribosomal RNA is filed under the name uncultured bacterium. RNAcentral describes it as "partial 16S ribosomal RNA". It matches the Rfam family "Bacterial small subunit ribosomal RNA", at positions 524 to 776 of the family's 1533-position model. The record is from RNAcentral.
UACGUAGGGACCAAGCGUUGUUCGGAUUUACUGGGCGUAAAGGGCGCGUAGGCGGCUUAACAAGUCACUUGUGAAAUCUCCGGGCUUAACUCGGAACGGCCAAGUGAAACUGUCAAGCUAGAGUGCAGAAGGGGCAAUCGGAAUUCUUGGUGUAGCGGUGAAAUGCGUAGAUAUCAAGAGGAACACCGAAGGCGAAGGCAGCACUCUGGGCCGGUACUGACGCUGAGGAGCGAAAGCGUGGGGAGCAAACAGG